AAGUCGUAACAAGGUUUCCGUAGGUGAACCUGCGGAAGGAUCAUUAACACGUUUUAAUACGUCCUUCAACCAACUGUGCAUUCCAUGUAUUGUGGUCAUUUGACUUCAAUAUCUAUUUUUUUUAACUUUUUGCACCCAUCUUAUCACUUUUGCUUCUUGUUUGAUUGUUCUUCAACAAUCACUCGAAUAUUAAUUUAUUUUAAUAGUCGAUACAACUCUUAGCAAUGGAUAUCUUGGUUCUC
This 242-nucleotide unclassified non-coding RNA is filed under the name fungal sp. Its description in RNAcentral is "partial internal transcribed spacer region". The stretch from base 1 to 46 matches the Rfam family "Eukaryotic small subunit ribosomal RNA", at positions 1786 to 1831 of the family's 1831-position model. The record is from RNAcentral. Lineage: Eukaryota; Fungi.